RNAcentral lists this ribosomal RNA (253 nucleotides) under uncultured bacterium. RNAcentral's name for it is "partial 16S ribosomal RNA". It matches the Rfam family "Bacterial small subunit ribosomal RNA", at positions 524 to 776 of the family's 1533-position model. The record is from RNAcentral.
UACGUAGGGCGCAAGCGUUGUCCGGAAUUAUUGGGCGUAAAGAGCUCGUAGGCGGUUUGUCGCGUCUGUCGUGAAAGCUUGGGGCUUAACCCCAAGUCUGCGGUGGAUACGGGCAGACUAGAGGCAGGUAGGGGAGAACGGAAUUCCCGGUGUAGCGGUGAAAUGCGUUGAUAUCGUAAGGAACACCCGUGGCGAAAGCGGCUCACUGGGUCUUUUCUGACGCUGAUGCACGAAAGCUAGGGGAGCAAACGGG